UACAUGUAAGUGCAGAAGAUGCUUCAGAGAAAGGAGACAGACUGAUACCUCAACUCUAGUAACUCUCUCAUCAAAUGUCAAAGAAAGUGCUAUCAAGUUGGGGUGUUGGUCUGGAUUAAAGCCAUGGUCUCUCAGCAGUAUAUGAUGCCCAUCUGUGAGAUAUGUUGCUAUGGUCAAUUGGAGUCAACAUCCUGAUGGAGGACAUCUUGGGCCAUUAAAGGGGAGGGGCUCUAAAUUACCUGGGAAGGAGCAGGGCUGCUGUAUGCUUUAAAAGCUGUGCAGAAGAAACAUAUCUCCACUUACCAAAGCUGAAGGGAACAUCCACAAUGCACUGCUGCUUGGAGGGAGUCUAGAAAUUGGCCUGGGACACAUCUUUGGACAUAUACAUGUAAGUGCAGAAGAUGCUUCAGAGAAAGGAGACAGACUGAUACCUCAACUCUAGUAACUCUCUCAUCAAAUGUCAAAGAAAGUGCUAUCAAGUUGGGGUGUUGGUCUGGAUUAAAGCCAUGGUCUCUCAGCAGUAUAUGAUGCCCAUCUGUGAGAUAUGUUGCUAUGGUCAAUUGGAGUCAACAUCCUGAUGGAGGACAUCUUGGGCCAUUAAAGGGUAUUGCCUGUACAUGAUUGCAAUUAUGCAAAGAUUCCCUUAAUCUCCCCAGCAUUCACACUUUUUAGAAAUGUGUGAAUAUCUGCCAAGUUAAGAAGAAAUGCUGACCAAUGUCUCUGAUUGGGGGUGUGUCUGAGGGAGGGGCUCUAAAUUACCUGGGAAGGAGCAGGGCUGCUGUAUGCUUUAAAAGCUGUGCAGAAGAAACAUAUCUCCACUUACCAAAGCUGAAGGGAACAUCCACAAUGCACUGCUGCUUGGAGGGAGUCUAGAAAUUGGCCUGGGACACAUCUUUGGACAUAUACAUGUAAGUGCAGAAGAUGCUUCAGAGAAAGGAGACAGACUGAUACCUCAACUCUAGUAACUCUCUCAUCAAAUGUCAAAGAAAGUGCUAUCAAGUUGGGGUGUUGGUCUGGAUUAAAGCCAUGGUCUCUCAGCAGUAUAUGAUGCCCAUCUGUGAGAUAUGUUGCUAUGGUCAAUUGGAGUCAACAUCCUGAUGGAGGACAUCUUGGGCCAUUAAAGGGGAGGGGCUCUAAAUUACCUGGGAAGGAGCAGGGCUGCUGUAUGCUUUAAAAGCUGUGCAGAAGAAACAUAUCUCCACUUACCAAAGCUGAAGGGAACAUCCACAAUGCACUGCUGCUUGGAGGGAGUCUAGAAAUUGGCCUGGGACACAUCUUUGG
This is a long non-coding RNA of Clupea harengus (Atlantic herring), 1281 nucleotides long. RefSeq lists it as uncharacterized. Lineage: Eukaryota; Metazoa; Chordata; Actinopteri; Clupeiformes; Clupeidae. The record is from RefSeq and is a predicted model, not a curated record. The transcript is spliced from 8 exons.